AGCUCUCCCUUACACCGAAAAGCCGCCCGUGCAAACCAGGCCACCCUGACGCCCAAUUGCUAGCCCAACAAAUUUUUUAAAAAUUAAAUAUACUUAACAAUUAAUAAACUAAAAAUACUAAACAAACCAUUUUUUAUCCUAAGUAAAGGCGAUAGAAAAGGACCCAAGGGAAAUAGAAAAAGUACCGCACGGGAAUGCUGAAAAAGAAAUGAAACAAAUCAAAUUAUGCCAAUAUAGCAGAGACUCUCCCUCGUUCCUUUUGCAUCCUGAUUUAACACGCAAAGCCCAAGAAAAGAGAACUAUAGUUUGAGACCCCGAAACUAAGCGAGCUGCUCCAAGACAGCCCAAUUGGGGCAAACCCGUCCCUGUGGCAAAGGGUGGGAAGAGCUUUGAGUAGAGGUGACAGACCUACCGAGCAUAGUUAUAGCUGGUUUCCUGAGAAAUGAAUAGAAGUUCAGCCCCCCGGCUUCCUUACCCAACAUAGAACAACUAACUGUUGGCUACGAAAAACCAGAGGAGUUAAUCAAAGGAGGUACAGCUCCUUUUUAAUACAAACACCUU
RNAcentral lists this ribosomal RNA (561 nucleotides) under Cyttus traversi. RNAcentral describes it as "partial 12S ribosomal RNA". The stretch from base 304 to 561 matches the Rfam family "Bacterial large subunit ribosomal RNA", at positions 626 to 1035 of the family's 2925-position model. The record is from RNAcentral. Lineage: Eukaryota; Metazoa; Chordata; Actinopteri; Zeiformes; Cyttidae.